This 917-nucleotide ribosomal RNA is filed under the name uncultured bacterium. RNAcentral's name for it is "bacterial SSU rRNA". It matches the Rfam family "Bacterial small subunit ribosomal RNA", at positions 20 to 935 of the family's 1533-position model. The record is from RNAcentral.
UGGCUCAGGAUGAACGCUAGCGGCAGGCUUAAUACAUGCAAGUCGAGGGGCAGCGCGGGUAGCAAUACUUGGCGGCGACCGGCAAACGGGUGCGGAACACGUACGCAACCUUCCCAAAACUGGGGAAUAGCCCUCCGAAAGGAGGAUUAAUACCCCGUAACACAAUUAAGAGGCAUCUCUUGAUUGUUAUAGCUCAGGCGGUUUUGGAUGGGCGUGCGGCUGAUUAGGUAGUUGGCGGGGUAACGGCCCACCAAGCCAUCGAUCAGUAACUGGUGUGAGAGCACGACCAGUCACACGGGCACUGAGACACGGGCCCGACUCCUACGGGAGGCAGCAGUAAGGAAUAUUGGUCAAUGGACGCAAGUCUGAACCAGCCAUGCCGCGUGAAGGAUGAAGGCCCUCUGGGUUGUAAACUUCUUUUAUCUGGGACGAAAAAAGGGGAUUCUUCCUCACUUGACGGUACCAGAGGAAUAAGCACCGGCUAACUCCGUGCCAGCAGCCGCGGUAAUACGGAGGGUGCAAGCGUUAUCCGGAUUCACUGGGUUUAAAGGGUGCGUAGGUGGGCAGGUAAGUCAGUGGUGAAAUCUUCGAGCUUAACUCGGAAACUGCCAUUGAUACUAUCUGUCUUGAAUAUCCUGGAGAUGAGCGGAAUAUGUCAUGUAGCGGUGAAAUGCUUAGAUAUGACAUAGAACACCAAUUGCGAAGGCAGCUCACUACGGGAUGAUUGACGCUGAGGCACGAAAGCGUGGGGAUCAAACAGGAUUAGAUACCCUGGUAGUCCACGCCCUAAACGAUGGAUACUCGACAUAUGCGAUACACUGUAUGUGUCUGAGCGAAAGCAUUAAGUAUCCCACCUGGGAAGUACGACCCGCAGGUUGAAACUCAAAGGAAUUGACGGGGGGUCGCACAAGCGNUGG